AUGCGCGACCACGAGCAGCCCCAGGACGCGAAGUGCAUGCCCGAGGGCCUCGUGCGCCAGGUGGCCGCGGCCGCCCGCGCCGCGGGCAUCGGCCUGGCCGGCGAGAACGCGCUGCCCCGGUACGACGACACGGCGCACGACCAGGUGGUGGGCACCGCCGCGGAGCGCGCCGAGGAGGACCGGAUGGUGGCCUUCACCUACCUCCGCAUGGGCCCCGAUCUGUUCCAGCCCGACAACUGGCGCCGGUUCGCGGCGUUCGUGAAGCGGAUGUCCAAGUCCGGGUCGUGCAGGGAGGCCGCCGAGCGGGAGGCGCACGGCGUCGCCCACGCCACGGGCUCUCUCGUGCACGAGGCCGCCGCCGCGCUACGGUGCUGA
RNAcentral lists this ribosomal RNA (375 nucleotides) under Triticum aestivum (bread wheat). RNAcentral describes it as "partial small subunit ribosomal RNA". Lineage: Eukaryota; Viridiplantae; Streptophyta; Magnoliopsida; Poales; Poaceae. The record is from RNAcentral.